RNAcentral lists this ribosomal RNA (255 nucleotides) under Staphylococcus aureus. RNAcentral's name for it is "partial 23S ribosomal RNA". It matches the Rfam family "Bacterial large subunit ribosomal RNA", at positions 595 to 850 of the family's 2925-position model. Lineage: Bacteria; Bacillati; Bacillota; Bacilli; Caryophanales; Staphylococcaceae. The record is from RNAcentral.
GAUGGCGUGCCUUUUGUAGAAUGAACCGGCGAGUUACGAUUUGAUGCAAGGUUAAGCAGUAAAUGUGGAGCCGUAGCGAAAGCGAGUCUGAAUAGGGCGUUUAGUAUUUGGUCGUAGACCCGAAACCAGGUGAUCUACCCUUGGUCAGGUUGAAGUUCAGGUAACACUGAAUGGAGGACCGAACCGACUUACGUUGAAAAGUGAGCGGAUGAACUGAGGGUAGCGGAGAAAUUCCAAUCGAACCUGGAGAUAGCU